GAUGAACGCUGGCGGCGCGCCUAACACAUGCAAGUCGAACGAGCAAGAGAGAGCUUGCUUUCUCGAGCGAGUGGCGAACGGGUGAGUAACGCGUGAGGAACCUGCCUCAAAGAGGGGGACAACAGUUGGAAACGGCUGCUAAUACCGCAUAAGCGCACGGCAUCGCAUGAUGCAGUGUGAAAAACUCCGGUGGUAUAAGAUGGACCCGCGUUGGAUUAGCUAGUUGGUGAGGUAACGGCCCACCAAGGCGACGAUCCAUAGCCGACCUGAGAGGGUGACCGGCCACAUUGGGACUGAGACACGGCCCAAAACUCCUACGGGAGGCAGCAGUGGGGAAUAUUGCACAAUGGGCGAAAGCCUGAUGCAGCGACGCCGCGUGAGCGAAGAAGUAUUUCGGUAUGUAAAGCUCUAUCAGCAGGGAAGAUAAAUGACGGUACCUGACUAAGAAGCACCGGCUAAAUACGUAGCCAGCAGCC
RNAcentral lists this ribosomal RNA (476 nucleotides) under uncultured bacterium. Its description in RNAcentral is "bacterial SSU rRNA". It matches the Rfam family "Bacterial small subunit ribosomal RNA", at positions 28 to 516 of the family's 1533-position model. The record is from RNAcentral.